UACGUAGGGAGCAAGCGUUGUCCGGAAUCAUUGGGCGUAAAGCGCGCGUAGGUGGCUUCGUAAGUCCGUUGUGAAAGUCAAAGGCUCAACCUUUGAAAGCCGAUGGAUACUGUGAAGCUAGAGUACGGAAGAGGCGAGUGGAAUUCCUGGUGUAGCGGUGAAAUGCGUAGAUAUACGGAGGAACACCAGAGGCGAAGGCGGAUCGCUGGGCCAACACUGACGCUGAUGUGCGAAAGCUAGGGGAGCAAACGGG
This 253-nucleotide ribosomal RNA is filed under the name uncultured bacterium. RNAcentral's name for it is "partial 16S ribosomal RNA". It matches the Rfam family "Bacterial small subunit ribosomal RNA", at positions 524 to 776 of the family's 1533-position model. The record is from RNAcentral.